AAAAAAGCGCUGGUUCUGAUGCAAGUUAACUUCGAAGGCAUCGGACCAGCGAGCUGAUUAAACAUUAACCUCGUCGAUAGGAGAGGGGAAGUUGCGAGUUGGUGGCACGAACAAAUCUGAUGAACGCUCCGGAGGUGGCAAAGAAAUUCAAUUGAGAUCUCACCAAUUCUGAGACGAAAAAUGAAAGUGUUCUGAUGCAAAUGGAUCUCAGAAAAUCUGUAUGACGGACGAACAAAUGGCGAAGCAACGUCGCCGUUGUAACAUCCGUGGAACCGACACGGCUGGAGUUAAUAUUCAUUUUCACUCUCAGAACAUACACGGAUAUUAACUUUGAAAUAUAAAUGUUAAAAUGAAGAAAGAUAUGGAUAAAAACAGAGAGGCUACACUGUUGACGGUGACUUUGACUUGUUGGCGAUUGUCUGCCGACAAAAUGGCACGGUGGUGAGGGACUAUCGUUAAGAAAACGACUCAACAAGUGUAGCAAAGAGGAGAGGAUACGCUACUCA
This is a long non-coding RNA of Ceratina calcarata, 506 nucleotides long. RefSeq lists it as uncharacterized. Lineage: Eukaryota; Metazoa; Arthropoda; Insecta; Hymenoptera; Apidae. The transcript has 4 exons. The record is from RefSeq and is a predicted model, not a curated record.